AGAGAGAGACAUGCGCGCAUAUCAAUAAGCGGAGGAAAAGAAACUAACAAGGAUUCCCCUAGUAACGGCGAGUGAAGCGGGAAGAGCUCAAAUUUGAAAUCUUAAAGGGUUUCCCUUUACGAAUUGUAGUUUAAAGAAGUGUUUUCUGUUGAGGUUUUGGUAAAAGUUCUUUGGAAUAGGACAUCAUAGAGGGUGAGAAUCCCGUAUUUGACCUUUACUUUCAACUUUGUGAUACACUUUCAAAGAGUCGGAUUGUUUGGGAAUGCAGUCCAAAAUGGGUGGUAAAUUUCAUCUAAAGCUAAAUAUUGGCGAGAGACCGAUAGCGAACAAGUACCGUGAGGGAAAGAUGAAAAGAACUUUGAAAAGAGAGUUAAACAGUACGUGAAAUUGUCAAAAGGGAAGCGUUUGACACCAGUGUUGUUUUUCUGAAAAUCAAUUAAAGAACUGUUUAUGCUAAGUUGUUUAGACUUUAUCAGCUAACUGUUUAGUUUUGAGCUUUUCUUUAAUGCACUUUUCAGUUAACAAGUCAACAUCAAUUUCUUUUGCUGUAAAAAAGCUUGAGGAAGGUGGCUUGAGAUUCGUCUUAAGUGUUUAUAGCCUCUUGCCUAGUGCAGUCGGAGAGAUUGAGGUCUGCAGCGUAGAUCCUUCGGGGCUAAAUGCAUUUGUGCUAAGUUAUAGCAUUUUAUAGACAACUUGUUGACUAUGAUUUGUCUUGUAGCUUACUCGCUUAUGUUAUUUUACCUACGCUUAGGAUGUUGACGCAUGAGAUAUACGC
This 775-nucleotide ribosomal RNA is filed under the name uncultured Neocallimastigales. Its description in RNAcentral is "partial large subunit ribosomal RNA". It matches the Rfam family "Eukaryotic large subunit ribosomal RNA", at positions 23 to 646 of the family's 3401-position model. Lineage: Eukaryota; Fungi; Neocallimastigomycota; Neocallimastigomycetes; Neocallimastigales. The record is from RNAcentral.